Molecule: ribosomal RNA, 868 nt
Filed under: Bacillus safensis
Lineage: Bacteria; Bacillati; Bacillota; Bacilli; Caryophanales; Bacillaceae
Description: bacterial SSU rRNA
Rfam family: Bacterial small subunit ribosomal RNA
Source: RNAcentral
UGCAGUCGAGCGGACAGAAGGGAGCUUGCUCCCGGAUGUUAGCGGCGGACGGGUGAGUAACACGUGGGUAACCUGCCUGUAAGACUGGGAUAACUCCGGGAAACCGGAGCUAAUACCGGAUAGUUCCUUGAACCGCAUGGUUCAAGGAUGAAAGACGGUUUCGGCUGUCACUUACAGAUGGACCCGCGGCGCAUUAGCUAGUUGGUGGGGUAAUGGCUCACCAAGGCGACGAUGCGUAGCCGACCUGAGAGGGUGAUCGGCCACACUGGGACUGAGACACGGCCCAGACUCCUACGGGAGGCAGCAGUAGGGAAUCUUCCGCAAUGGACGAAAGUCUGACGGAGCAACGCCGCGUGAGUGAUGAAGGUUUUCGGAUCGUAAAGCUCUGUUGUUAGGGAAGAACAAGUGCGAGAGUAACUGCUCGCACCUUGACGGUACCUAACCAGAAAGCCACGGCUAACUACGUGCCAGCAGCCGCGGUAAUACGUAGGUGGCAAGCGUUGUCCGGAAUUAUUGGGCGUAAAGGGCUCGCAGGCGGUUUCUUAAGUCUGAUGUGAAAGCCCCCGGCUCAACCGGGGAGGGUCAUUGGAAACUGGGAAACUUGAGUGCAGAAGAGGAGAGUGGAAUUCCACGUGUAGCGGUGAAAUGCGUAGAGAUGUGGAGGAACACCAGUGGCGAAGGCGACUCUCUGGUCUGUAACUGACGCUGAGGAGCGAAAGCGUGGGGAGCGAACAGGAUUAGAUACCCUGGUAGUCCACGCCGUAAACGAUGAGUGCUAAGUGUUAGGGGGUUUCCGCCCCUUUAGUGCUGCAGCUAACGCAUUAAGCACUCCGCCUGGGGAGUACGGUCGCAAGACUGAAACUCAAAG